Long non-coding RNA from Daktulosphaira vitifoliae (grape phylloxera), 623 nucleotides. RefSeq lists it as uncharacterized. The transcript has 3 exons. The record is from RefSeq and is a predicted model, not a curated record. Lineage: Eukaryota; Metazoa; Arthropoda; Insecta; Hemiptera; Phylloxeridae.
AAAAAAACUAAACCCAUCCAGAAUAGUGAACAAGAGUGUAAGGAUAUUACGUGUUUACACAAUUGGCAGAAAUGGAAGUAAUCAAGGCCGAAAAAAUAUAGAAAAUUCUAAAUGAUUCAAAACAAAUAUAAAUAUAAUCAUCGAAAAAUAUUGAUACUAAAAGCUUUAUGUGUUUAUCAAAUAAAUACAACCAAAAUUCAGUGGUAAAAAAACAAUUAAAAUGGUUUUUUAAACAAAAAAAAUUCCACGAACGUUUACUAGCUUUUUUUUUUAUAUGAAAUGGACUUGUUGAAAAAUAUUAAAAUAUAAACAGGCGUAUUUACCUAGAAAUUUCUUUAUAAAGCUGUAAUAUAAAAAAUUGUUUAGUGAUUUUUUUGAUCUUUUAAAUUAAUUUUAAGUAAAAAUAAAUAAAAACUGAAAUUCUUGAACACCUCUUAUACACUAUCCUAAGUGGAAUGGUGAAAGUAUUAAAUGAAAAUUAGUAGUCUAUCAUUUAUUUAAGUGGAUAAACUAUGUAGAAUUUAUAACUAUAUUUUAUAUAAAUUACAGAAUGCAGUAAUAAAAACAAACACAAAAAGUAUAAGAUUUGAACAUUAAUGUUUGGUUACACAACCACUAUUGUU